Molecule: unclassified non-coding RNA, 520 nt
Filed under: uncultured Glomus
Lineage: Eukaryota; Fungi; Glomeromycota; Glomeromycetes; Glomerales; Glomeraceae
Description: SSU rRNA
Rfam family: Eukaryotic small subunit ribosomal RNA
Source: RNAcentral
AGCAGCCGCGGUAAUUCCAGCUCCAAUAGCGUAUAUUAAAGUUGUUGCAGUUAAAAAGCUCGUAGUUGAAUUUCGGGAUCAAUUAAUCGGUCGUGCCUCUGGUACGCACUGGUUUUAUUGGUUUCUCCCUUCUGACGAACCAGGAUGUCAUUAAUUUGGUGUCUUGGGGAAUCAGGACUGUUACUUUGAAAAAUUAGAGUGUUUAAAGCAGGCUAACGCUUGAAUACAUUAGCAUGGAAUAAUGAAAUAGGACGUUUGAUCCUAUUUUGUUGGUUUCUAGGAUCGACGUAAUGAUUAAUAGGGAUAGUUGGGGGCAUUAGUAUUCAAUUGUCAGAGGUGAAAUUCUUGGAUUUAUUGAAGACUAACUACUGCGAAAGCAUUUGCCAAGGAUGUUUUCAUUAAUCAAGAACGAAAGUUAGGGGAUCGAAGACGAUCAGAUACCGUCGUAGUCUUAACCAUAAACUAUGCCGACUAGGGAUCGGAUGAUGUUAAUUUUUUAAUGUACUCAUUCGGCGCCUUA